CGUUGUAGAGGACUCACUCACUGCCCAGCCCCUUCUCACUCACUGCGGGGAAGAAUAAUGAAGAAACUCACUUCGCGAAGACGCGACUCACUGCCUAGCCCCUUCUCACUCACUGCGGGGAAAAAUAAUGAAGAAACUCACUUCGCGACGGGACUCACUCACUGCCCAGCCCCUUCUCACUCACUGCAGGGAAGAAUAAUGAAGAAAUGGAGUUACUUGGAUGAGUGGGUCUAGUGCUCGCUGCUUGGAAACUCUGUUGUUUGACUGGGUCUGGCGCUCGAAAACUCUGUUGUUUGGCAGCGCAACACAUCAACACAUCUCUGGUUCUGAGAGUGAGGAGCUUGUUGCCGCAUCAAGACUUGAGGAUGAUGUCAGUUUUUAUCAAACUGUGAAUCCUAAUGUGGCAAAGCUUUUCCAUAUUGAUCCAGAAGGCAAACGCCCAGCUUUAAUCCUUAUUUGAACUACCAAGAAAAAAUCAAGUGGUGCAACCACCUUGUUUGGAAAUCAGAACCAGCUUGGAACUCCUUUACAACAAAUUCAUUCCACUGUUGAAAAAGGAAGUGUGCAGAGGGUGAUACUUCUCUUCUUGACAUCCAUUAGUCAACACAUCUAGUUUGUGAUAUCUUCUUAGUAUGGUACCUUAAACUCAAUUAUAUUUAUGUUGUUUUGAUGGAGGACCAUCCUUGAGGACACAUGUGGGCCACAUCACUAGGUCCAUGGCUAAGAGAGUUGAAGAGGAGGAGGGAGCUCACACACCAAGGGACACUCUCCUCAUGAUCAUAGACUGAAGAACCUAUCUAGCAAACUAGAAAACUUUUGGUGGAUUUGAGUAGAGGAGUGAACCGAAUCCAAACCUAGCCUUUGGAGGGAUUUACACUACACAAAAGGAGUGUUAAACACUUGGAGAGGACUAACAAAGUUUGCUCAUUGUGAAGGAACCCAAGUGGAGGAGUUGAAGACCUAAAAAUUUUGUCUUUUCAUUU
Molecule: non-coding RNA, 983 nt
Organism: Cajanus cajan (pigeon pea)
Lineage: Eukaryota; Viridiplantae; Streptophyta; Magnoliopsida; Fabales; Fabaceae
Source: RefSeq, a predicted model, not a curated record